Acanthosepion pharaonis is the source of this 86-nucleotide non-coding RNA. Lineage: Eukaryota; Metazoa; Mollusca; Cephalopoda; Sepiida; Sepiidae. The record is from the annotation of a GenBank genome assembly.
UUCCCGUACGAUCAACGAAGUUAAGCAACGUGGAGUCUGGUCAGUACCUAGAUGAGUGACCAUUUGGGAAUACCAGGUUCUGCAAG